GGGGUAUGCUCAGAGCAGGAAACUUGAAGACUGGCUCCUCUGUUUAUAACAUAUUCAACCAGAAUCUGGGGUUACUCCUUUCGGAAGCAGGACACACUGGCCUUCUUCUGCCACCAGACCCUCUAUCU
Molecule: small nucleolar RNA, 128 nt
Organism: Dipodomys ordii (Ord's kangaroo rat)
Lineage: Eukaryota; Metazoa; Chordata; Mammalia; Rodentia; Heteromyidae
Source: Ensembl